UUUUCCUGGAUGCUUCUAAUCCUGUCUCUGCUGUAUUACAUGCAUUUUAAAUAUGCUUUGUAUUUUCUGUAUUAUAUACCCUUGUGUUUAGGCUUUGGUGAUUUAACAGCAGACUGCUCCCCAUUGUUGGGGGAAACACUUUUUUGAAAUAAUAUUCUAGCCAUAUACAAAGUCUCUACAGCUUUCUCACAGGUGAUCUCCUAGUACGUUUAGGACUUUAUAUCCUUACACUUUAUUGUGUAAUAUUUUCUGGUUGUUUCAAUGUUAUUUAUACAAAUAAAUAUAUAGAGUAGGAUGGGACAG
Molecule: non-coding RNA, 303 nt
Organism: Pelobates cultripes (western spadefoot toad)
Lineage: Eukaryota; Metazoa; Chordata; Amphibia; Anura; Pelobatidae
Source: the annotation of a GenBank genome assembly